Molecule: ribosomal RNA, 383 nt
Filed under: uncultured eukaryote
Lineage: Eukaryota
Description: partial 18S ribosomal RNA
Rfam family: Eukaryotic small subunit ribosomal RNA
Source: RNAcentral
CAAUAGCGUAUAUUAAAGUUGUUGCAGUUAAAAAGCUCGUAGUUGGAUUUCUGGUAGGAGCGACCGUGCCGAACUUGAUUGUUCGAGUAUUGUGUUGUCUUCAGCCAUCCUCGUGGAGAACUUUUCUAACAUUAACUUGUUGGGAUUGGGACCCGCGUCGUUUACUGUGAAAAAAUUAGAGUGUUUAAAGCAGGCAUUAGCUUGAAUACAUUAGCAUGGAAUAGUAAGAUAGGACUUUGGUACUAUUUUGUUGGUUUGCAUACCAAAUUAAUGAUCAACAGGAACAGUUUGAGGAUAUUCGUAUGAACAUGUCAGAGGUGAAAUUCUUGGAUUUUGAUCAGACGAACUACUGCGAAAGCAUUUAUCAAGGAUGUUUUCAUUAA